GGAUGUGAUCAUACCAGCACUAAAGCACCGGAUCCCAUCAGAACUCCGAAGUUAAGCGUGCUUGGGCGAGAGUAGUAUUAGGAUGGGUGACCUCCUAGGAAGUCCUCGUGUUGCAUUUC
This 119-nucleotide ribosomal RNA is filed under the name Hordeum vulgare subsp. vulgare (domesticated barley). The record is from RNAcentral. Lineage: Eukaryota; Viridiplantae; Streptophyta; Magnoliopsida; Poales; Poaceae.